Molecule: ribosomal RNA, 786 nt
Filed under: uncultured Bacillota bacterium
Lineage: Bacteria; Bacillati; Bacillota
Description: bacterial SSU rRNA
Rfam family: Bacterial small subunit ribosomal RNA
Source: RNAcentral
CGGGAUAGCAAGUCAGUCGUGAAAUACCGGAGCUCAACUCCGGGGCUGCGAUUGAAACUGUUAUUCUUGAGUAUCGGAGAGGAAAGCGGAAUUCCUAGUGUAGCGGUGAAAUGCGUAGAUAUUAGGAGGAACACCAGUGGCGAAGGCGGCUUUCUGGACGACAACUGACGCUGAGGCGCGAAAGUGUGGGGAGCAAACAGGAUUAGAUACCCUGGUAGUCCACACCGUAAACGAUGGAUACUAGGUGUAGGAGGUAUCGACCCCUUCUGUGCCGCAGUUAACACAAUAAGUAUCCCACCUGGGGAGUACGGUCGCAAGACUGGAACUCAAAGGAAUUGACGGGGGCCCGCACAAGCAGUGGAGUAUGUGGUUUAAUUCGAAGCAACGCGAAGAACCUUACCUGGUCUUGACAUCCCGACGACCGCUCUAGAGAUAGAGCUUCUCUUCGGAGCGUCGGUGACAGGUGGUGCAUGGUUGUCGUCAGCUCGUGUCGUGAGAUGUUGGGUUAAGUCCCGCAACGAGCGCAACCCCUAUUGUUAGUUGCCAUCAUUCAGUUGGGCACUCUAGCGAGACUGCCGGUGACAAAUCGGAGGAAGGUGGGGACGACGUCAAAUCAUCAUGCCCCUUAUGACCAGGGCUACACACGUACUACAAUGGCCGGUAACAAAGUGCAGCAAUACCGUGAGGUGGAGCGAAUCACAAAACCCGGUCCCAGUUCAGAUUGCAGGCUGCAACUCGCCUGCAUGAAGGUGGAAUUGCUAGUAAUCGCGAAUCAGAAUGUCGCGG